AACUGGGGAUAAUACUAGAUAGGCAAUUUUUCCUGGAAUGGUUUUUUGUUUAAAUGUUUUUUCGCCUAAGGAUGGGUCUGCGGCCGAUUAGGUAGUUGGUUAGGUAACGGCUUACCAAGCCAUUGAUCGGUACGGGUUGUGAGAGCAAGAGCCCGGAGAUGGAACCUGAGACAAGGUUCCAGGCCCUACGGGGUGCAGCAGGCGCGAAACCUCCGCAAUGUGAGAAAUCGCGACGGGGGGAUCCCAAGUGCCAUUCUUAACGGGAUGGCUUUUCAUUAGUGUAAAGAGCUUUUGGAAUAAGGGCUGGGCAAGACCGGUGCCAGCCGCCGCGGUAACACCGGCAGCUCUAGUGGUAGCAGUUUUUAUUGGGCCUAAAGCGUCCGUAGCCGGUUUAAUAAGUCUCUGGUGAAAUCCUGUAGCUUAACUGUGGGAAUUGCUGGAGAUACUAUUAGACUUGAGACCGGGAGAGGUUAGAGGUACUCCCAGGGUAGAGGUGAAAUUCUGUAAUCCUGGGAGGACCGCCUGUUGCGAAGGCGUCUAACUGGAACGGUUCUGACGGUGAGGGACGAAAGUUAGGGGCGCGAACCGGAUUAGAUACCCGGGUAGUCCUAACUGUAAACGAUGCGGACUUGGUGUUGGGGUGGCUUUGAGCUGCUCCAGUGCCGAAGGGAAGCUGUUAAGUCCGCCGCCUGGGAAGUACGGUCGCAAGACUGAAACUUAA
This 721-nucleotide ribosomal RNA is filed under the name uncultured archaeon. RNAcentral describes it as "bacterial SSU rRNA". It matches the Rfam family "Archaeal small subunit ribosomal RNA", at positions 138 to 859 of the family's 1478-position model. The record is from RNAcentral.